AGAGUUUGAUCCUGGCUCAGAACGAACGCUGGCGGCAUGCCUAACACAUGCAAGUCGAACGAGAUCUUCGGGUCUAGUGGCGCACGGGUGCGUAACGCGUGGGAAUCUGCCCUUUGGUUCGGAAUAACAGUUGGAAACGACUGCUAAUACCGGAUGAUGACGAAAGUCCAAAGAUUUAUCGCCAGAGGAUGAGCCCGCGUAGGAUUAGCUAGUUGGUGUGGUAAAGGCGCACCAAGGCGACGAUCCUUAGCUGGUCUGAGAGGAUGAUCAGCCACACUGGGACUGAGACACGGCCCAGACUCCUACGGGAGGCAGCAGUGGGGAAUAUUGGACAAUGGGCGAAAGCCUGAUCCAGCGAUGCCGCGUGAGUGAUGAAGGCCUUAGGGUUGUAAAGCUCUUUUACCCGGGAUGAUAAUGACAGUACCGGAGAAUAG
RNAcentral lists this ribosomal RNA (434 nucleotides) under uncultured organism. RNAcentral describes it as "bacterial SSU rRNA". It matches the Rfam family "Bacterial small subunit ribosomal RNA", at positions 8 to 488 of the family's 1533-position model. The record is from RNAcentral.